Molecule: long non-coding RNA, 5098 nt
Filed under: Lotus japonicus
Lineage: Eukaryota; Viridiplantae; Streptophyta; Magnoliopsida; Fabales; Fabaceae
Description: long non-coding RNA (LJAP_LNC001553)
Source: RNAcentral
ACGGAGACAGAAUUGAAACUAUCUGAUAUAUUUUUAAUAAUUGGUCACUUCUCAAGUAUGAGAAAUUGGUACAAUCAGGUAUAUAAAAUUGAGAAAAGAAGAAGAAACGAGAUAGAUGAGACAGAGAGAAUAUUCAGAGAGAAGAAUCACAUAAGCCACCUAUUUCUUACCCUUACCCUUCAAUUCUCUUCCCUUUUAAUAUUCCCCUCACACAUAGUCCCUAAACCUUCUGUUAGCUAUCUUUUUCCUAUUUCCUCUCCUCAAUCCCACGUGCUUUUGAUUUGUUGUAACCAACUCUGGUAUCUCUCUCUUUGUUGUUAAAUCAGCCAUAUCAUGUGCAUUGCCAGGUGGCACGCCUAUUACAUUGUCGUCCCCUUUAAAAUGAACCUUGUCCGCAAGGUUAAAAUGUGGGUAACUAGCUUGUAAUUCAGCAGCAACUUCCCAUGUUGCCUCCGCAGGACUGCACCCUUCCCAUUGAAUCAAGACUUGAGGAACUAAAGUAGAACCUUGGACAAUUGUUCUACUGUCAAGCACAGCAGUUGGCCACAAAAUUUGUCCUAACUCAGAUGUGUGGAGAGGAAGUGGAAUGUAUGCCUCUGCAGCAGCUCCACGAAAUGGUUUGAGUUGGGAUACAUGAAACACCGGGUGUAUUUUAGCGUGAUCAGGUAGCUGCAACUUAUAUGCCACAGCCCCAAUUCUGCGCAGCACAGUGAAAGGACCAAAAUAGCGCAAGGAUAAUUUAUUGUUCUUCCUGAGAGCUGCUGAGUGUUGUCUAUAUGGCUGUAGUUUAACCAACACCGCAUCCCCAACCUCAAAUUGUCGGUCCUGUCUCUUUUUGUCGGCCUGAAUUUUCAUAACAGUUUGGGCCUUAAGUAAAUUGCUUUUCAAUGUCGUUAGUAGCAGUUCUCUGUUUCCUAGUAAUUCCUGUAUGUUUGGAGGAUCCUGAGAGUUGACAGAGUAGCGCAAUAAAGCUGGGGGUUCCCGACCAUACAAUGCCUGAAAAGGAGUCAUGCCCAAACUAGUGUGAAAGGAGGUAUUAUACCAGAAUUCUGCCCAAACCAGCAACUUCGCCCAGGUCUUUGGAUUAUCAAAUGUAAAACAACGCAAGUACAUUUCCAAGCAUUUGUUAAGAGCCUCAGAUUGUCCAUCCGUUUGAGGAUGAUACGCAGAACUCAUUGCCAAUGUCGUACCUUGUAACUUGAAAAGGUGUUUCCAGAAAUCACUUGUGAAAACCUUAUCUCUAUCUGAAACAAUUGACUUUGGAACCCCAUGCAACUUAACUAUAUGCAACAUAAAAGCUUCAGCCACACUUUUACUCGAAUAAUCAGAUUUCAUGGCAAUAAAAUGACUAUAUUUAGUCAAUCGAUCAAUCACUACCAUGAUAACAGUGAAACCAUGAGAGUUAGGUAACCCAGUUAUAAAGUCCAUAGCAACAUCAUCCCAUACCUGAGCAGGAAUUGGCAGUGGUUGUAAGAACCCAGCAGGUAAAGUAUGUUCAGUUUUUGCCUGUUGACAGAUGGUGCAAGUGGUGACGAAUUUCCUGACAUCAUCACGGAGAUUAGGCCAAAAAAAUUGGGCAGAAAUGCGAGCCACUGUACGCGCAAUGCCGGAGUGACCACCAAGUGGGGAACUAUGAUAUUCCCCUAGCACUUGUUGAAUAAGCGGACUCUUGGAAGGUAACACCAAUCGUCCUUUCCAAUAUAAGAGACCCCCUUUGAUAGUGUAUGGAGACCCCAUUCGAGGCGCAUUGAGGCACUCUGAGAUGAUGGAUUGGAGAUGUUCAUCUUGCAAAAGUUCGUGUUUCAAGUCAUCUAUCAAGUGAAAUUGUGGUUCAGACCAAGCCAUAAGGAACACUCGGGAUAAUGCAUCAGCAGCAAUAUUAUCUUUACCAGGCUUGUACUCAAUCUGAAAAUCAUACCCAACGAACUUAUGCAACCAAGCUUGCUGCUCCGGAGUUUGGAGUGAUUGAUCCAAAAGAUUCCUCAAACUCUUUUGAUCAGUUCGGAUGAUAAAUUUGUGUCCUAACAAAUAAUGUCGGAAUUUUGCCAAUGCUGAUGUGAUAGCAAGAAACUCUCUGGUGUAUGCAGAUUGCUUUUUCAUCCGGGGAGCCAAUUUCUUGGAGAAAUACGCAAUGGGGUGGCCAUUUUGACUUAACACUGCCCCAAUGCCAAUCCCAGAAGCAUCGGUUUCAAGAACAAAAGGUUGAGUAAAAUUCGGUAAGGCCAAUACAGGGGCGGAAGUAAUUACCUGUUUCAGUUUCAUGAAAGCUUGGUCAGCAGCUGUCGUCCAACAAAAUGAGUCUUUCUUCAACAGAUCAGUUAAGGGACCUGCAAUCAUGGCAUAUGAUUUAAUAAAUCGACGGUAAUAACCAGUUAAACCAAGAAAGCCCCGUAAUUGUUUGACUAACAUAGGUUGUGGCCACUCUAACACAGCUUGAAUUUUGCCAGUUUCCAUGGCCACGCCAUUACCCGAAACUGUAUGCCCCAGGUAUUCCACCUCAAGUAAUCCAAAAGAACACUUUGAAAGUUUAGCAAAUAAGACAUGUUGUUGUAGUGUUUGCAAAACUGACUCCAAAUGGCACAAGUGAGCAGUCCAAGAAGGGCUAUAAACAAGAAUGUCGUCGAAGAAGACAAGCACAAAUUUUCGUAACUCCUUCCCAAAAAUUGUGUUCAUCAAACAUUGAAAAGUGGCUGGUGCAUUAGUGAGGCCGAAUGGCAUAACAAGCCACUCGUAAUGACCAUGAUGCGUCCGAAAAGCGGUCUUAUAGCGAUCUUCCUGCUGGACUAAAAUUUGAUGGUAACCGGAUCGAAGAUCAAGUUUAGAGAAAUAUUUAGCACCAUAUAAUUCAUCCAAUAACUCAUCCACUGUUGGCAUAGGAAAGCUGUCCUUAAUAGUGAUGGCAUUUAAAGCACGAUAGUCAGUACAAAACCUCCAUUGACCAUCUUUCUUUUUAACCAAUACAACAGGAGAAGAAAAAGGGCUAGUGCUAGGUUGAAUAAUACCUUGAUCCAACAUGUCUUGGACCAUCUUGUCGAUUUGCUCUUUCUGACUAUGAGGAUACCUAUAUGGCCGCACUUUGACAGGCUUGGCAUCAGGAAGCAAAGGAAUAGCAUGAUUCUGGUCACGAUCAGGAGGUAGACCCGUCGGGGUUUGGAAGACCACACGAUAUGUAUGCAACAACUGUGCUAUCGCUGGAUCAAUAUCCACAGAUAAUGAAGGGAGAAUAUCAACAUCUGUAGGCAGUAUGUGGACAGCAAAACUCUCGGAAAUUGCACUAGUUUCCUGUAAGCGUUUGAGUUGGUGAAAGUGGGCAUGAGUAGGAGGAUUGGAAGCCUCUCCCUGCAAGGUAACAAAUUUUCCCUGGUGAAAAAAACGGAGAAACAAAGCGGCAUAAUCAGCCACAUGAGGUCCUAACGUUGCGAGCCACGAGGCCCCCAAAAUCAAGUCAGCUCCGGAAACUGGCAGUACAUAUAUCGGAACAAGCAAGUCUUGUCCCUGAAUGGAAACCUUCAAGUUGCUAAUCCAGCCUUAUGUUUCCAUGUGUUGGCCAUUGCCCACCAAAACCUUGAAACUAGGCUUGGGCUCAAUAGGCAACUUGAGAAACUUUGCAAUUCUGGGUUGCAGAAAACUGUCAGAGCUUCCGCCAUCCACUAAAAUUUGUACUGAGAUAUUACCAAUUUGGCCAGUAAAUCGAAUGGUGCCCACCCCAGUGGAGCCUCGCAUUGCAUUUAGUGAGAGGUGAUGAUCCCCGGGUGGUAAUUCAUCCGAAACAUUAGAUAUAUCAGGCUGGUUGGUCUCUUCGUCCAAAUCAUUAUAAUCAGAAAGUUGUAACAACAUGAGGUACUUGUUAGGGCACUUGUGAUUGAAUGAGAAUUUGUCAUCACACCAAUAACACAAUCCUUUCUCCCUCCUAAGUUCCAUUUCCGCUGGGGAAAUAUAUUUAACUUUCCGAUUAGGGUGGUUGUGGUGUAAAGGUUUAGUAGCAGGUGUUGGUAAUAAUGGUGGGAGGUUAGCUUUGGAAUUAGUGUUAGGGACCUCAAUUUUGGUUACAGUGGAAGUAGGUUUCUGGUAUGGAAAGUUUGUGUGGGAGAUUUUGGAGUGGGGAAUGGAGAAUUUUGGUUUGCUACUUGGUUGAUACCGUUCUUCAAACAGCUUGGCUAAUGCCACAGCUUUGGCCAAAUGAGUGGGAGACAUAGCUCGUACAUCCCUGCAAAUAUCUUCAUUAAGACCACUAAGAAAACAGUCCAACAAUGCAUCAGAGCUCAACCCAUCGACACGGUUAGCUAAUGCAGUGAAUUCCAAAUAAUACUCACCCACAGUACCUGUUUGCAUAAGCUUAAACAAAAUAGAUCGGGGACAUUCAUACACAGAAGGACCAAAAUCGAGCUCAAGAGCAGCAGUAAAAGCAUCCCAUGUCUGAAAGGGAUUUGCACGGUGAAGCAUCUGGAACCAUGGAAUCACCUCUUGGUCAAGAUGCACCGAUGCAAUUGUCAAUCGAUCAUGAUCAGGGGUGUCAUAAUAAUUGAAAAAUUGUUCUGCCCUAAAAAUCCAGUCCCGCACAUUCUUCCCAUCAAAACGAGGAAAAUCUAGCUUAACCGGUCGCACCUGAAACGGAGGUUUCUGAGAGCUCGAACCAACAUGUUGAGAACCUGGGGAAUGCGUUUGGCGCUGCAACAAAGUGGCCAAUGCUUCAGUGAUCUGCUUGAACUUCGCAUCAGUGGCCUCCUGCAUCGUGUCGAUUUUUGAUUGCAGAUCGGUGUAAUUUUUCUCAACCAAAUCAGCAUUCCUUUUGACCUCAGCUUGAAGCUCCUUGAGGCGUGUGUUCUCUGCCAUGUUGUGAUGAAAGCACCAAUGAAAUGGUUACCCAGUGAACGGAGACAGAAUUGAAACUAUCUGAUAUAUUUUUAAUAAUUGGUCACUUCUCAAGUAUGAGAAAUUGGUACAAUCAGGUAUAUAAAAUUGAGAAAAGAAGAAGAAACGAGAUAGAUGAGACAGAGAGAAUAUUCAGAGAGAAGAAUCACAUAAGCCACCUAUUUCUUACCCUUACCCUUCAAUUCUCUUCCCUUUUAAUAUUCCCCUCACACAUAGUCCCUAAACC